Molecule: ribosomal RNA, 553 nt
Filed under: Culicoides imicola
Lineage: Eukaryota; Metazoa; Arthropoda; Insecta; Diptera; Ceratopogonidae
Description: partial 16S ribosomal RNA
Rfam family: Bacterial large subunit ribosomal RNA
Source: RNAcentral
CGCUUGUUUAUCAAAAACAUGUCUUUUUGAUUAAAUAAAAAGUCUAGCCUGCCCGGUGAAUUUUUAACGGCCGCAGUAUACUGACUGUGCAAAGGUAGCAUAAUCUAUUGUCUUUUAAUUAAAGGCUUGUAUGAAUGGUUGAAUGAGAUAUUAACUAUUUUUAUUUUAAUAAAAAUGAAUUUUAAUUUUUAGUAAAAAUGCUAAAAUAAAAAAAUUAGACGAGAAGACCCUAUAAAUCUUAAUUUUAUUUUUUAUAAUAUUAAUUUUGAAAAUUUUUAAUAAAUUAUAAAAAUAAAAUUUUAUUGGGAGGAUAAUGAAAUUUAAUAAACUUUUAUUUUUUUUUAUAAAUAUAAUUAAAUUAUUGAAUAUAUAAUUAUAAAAUAUUUAAAAAAUUAAGUUACUUUAGGGAUAACAGCGUAAUUAUUUUAAAGAGUUCUUAUCGAUAAAAUAGUUUGCGACCUCGAUGUUGAAUUAAGAAUUAAUUUAGGUGUAGAAGUUUAAAUUUUAAGUCUGUUCGACUUUUGAAUUCUUACAUGAUCUGAGUUCAGACCGG